CGGCGCGCUUACACAUGCAAGUCGAGCGAUGAAACUUUAACAGAACCCUUCGGGGCGAAGAUAAAGUGGAUUAGCGGCGGACGGGUGAGUAACACGUGAGUAACCUGCCUUAGACAUUGGGAUAGCCUCGGGAAACCGGGAUUAAUACCAAAUAAAAUCAUAAUGACACAUGUCAUAACGAUCAAAACUCCGGUGGUCUAAGAUGGACUCGCGUCCCAUUAGCUAGUUGGUAGAGUAAAAGCCUACCAAGGCGACGAUGGGUAGCCGGCCUGAGAGGGUGAACGGCCACAUUGGAACUGAGAAACGGUCCAAACUCCUACGGGAGGCAGCAGUGGGGAAUAUUGCACAAUGGAGGGAACUCUGAUGCAGCGACGCCGCGUGAACGAAGAAGGCUUUCGAGUCGUAAAGUUCUUUUAUAUGGGAAGAUAAUGACGGUACCAUAAGAAAAAGCCCCGGCUAACUACGUGCCAGCAGCCGCGGUAAUACGUAGGGGGCUAGCGUUGUCCGGAAUCACUGGGCGUAAAGGGUUCGCAGGCGGAAAUGCAAGUCAGAUGUAAAAGGCAGUAGCUUAACUACUGUAAGCAUUUGAAACUGCAUAUCUUGAGAAGAGUAGAGGUAAGUGGAAUUUUUAGUGUAGCGGUGAAAUGCGUAGAUAUUAAAAAGAAUACCGGUGGCGAAGGCGACUUACUGGGCUCAUUCUGACGCUGAGGAACGAAAGCGUGGGUAGCAAACAGGAUUA
Molecule: ribosomal RNA, 739 nt
Filed under: uncultured Eubacteriales bacterium
Lineage: Bacteria; Bacillati; Bacillota; Clostridia; Eubacteriales
Description: bacterial SSU rRNA
Rfam family: Bacterial small subunit ribosomal RNA
Source: RNAcentral